This 433-nucleotide ribosomal RNA is filed under the name uncultured bacterium. RNAcentral's name for it is "partial 16S ribosomal RNA". It matches the Rfam family "Bacterial small subunit ribosomal RNA", at positions 29 to 507 of the family's 1533-position model. The record is from RNAcentral.
AACGAACGCUGGCGGCAUGCCUAACACAUGCAAGUCGAACGAGACCUUCGGGUCUAGUGGCGCACGGGUGCGUAACGCGUGGGAACCUGCCCGUAGGUUCGGAAUAACUCCCCGAAAGGGGUGCUAAUACCGGAUAAUGUCUUCGGACCAAAGAUUUAUCGCCUUUGGAUGGGCCCGCGUUGGAUUAGCUUGUUGGUAGGGUAAAAGCCUACCAAGGCUACGAUCCAUAGCUGGUCUGAGAGGAUGAUCAGCCACACUGGGACUGGGACACGGCCCAGACUCCUACGGGAGGCAGCAGUGGGGAAUAUUGGACAAUGGGCGAAGGCAUGAUCCAGCAAUGCCGCGUGAGUGAUGAAGGCCUUAGGGUUGUAAAGCUCUUUUACCCGGGAUGAUAAUGACAGUACCGGGAGAAUAAGCUCCGGCUAACUCCGUG